This 407-nucleotide ribosomal RNA is filed under the name uncultured bacterium. Its description in RNAcentral is "partial 16S ribosomal RNA". It matches the Rfam family "Bacterial small subunit ribosomal RNA", at positions 30 to 526 of the family's 1533-position model. The record is from RNAcentral.
AUUGAACGCUGGCGGCAGGCCUAACACAUGCAAGUCGAGCGGAGCGGCGGACGGGUGAGUAAUGCCUAGGAAUCUGACUGGUAGUGGGGGAUAACGUCCGGAAACGGGCGCUAAUACCGCAUACUAUAAGAUGAGCAUAGGUCGGAUUAGCUAGUUUGUGGGGUAAAGGCCUACCAAGGCGCAGAUCCGUAACUGUUCUGAGAGGAUGAUCAGUCACACGGGAACGGAGACACGUUCCAGACUCCUACGUGAGGCAGCAGUGGGGAAUAUUGUACAAGGUGCGAAAGCCUGAUCCAGCCAUGCCGCGUGUGUGAAGAAGGUCUUCGGAUUGUAAAGCACUUUAAGUUUGGAGGCGUUACCAACAGAAUAAGCACCGGCUAACUUCGUGCCAGCAGCCGCGGUAAUUC